CCUUGGGGUGAGGGUACCUGCAGAAGAAGCGCCGGCUAACUACGUGCCAGCAGCCGCGGUAAUACGUAGGGCGCAAGCGUUGUCCGGAAUUAUUGGGCGUAAAGAGCUCGUAGGCGGUUUGUCGCGUCUGCUGUGAAAACGCGAGGCUUAACCUCGCGCCUGCAGUGGGUACGGGCAGACUAGAGUGCGGUAGGGGAGACUGGAAUUCCUGGUGUAGCGGUGGAAUGCGCAGAUAUCAGGAGGAACACCGGUGGCGAAGGCGGGUCUCUGGGCCGUUACUGACGCUGAGGAGCGAAAGCAUGGGGAGCGAAC
Molecule: ribosomal RNA, 312 nt
Filed under: Georgenia thermotolerans
Lineage: Bacteria; Bacillati; Actinomycetota; Actinomycetes; Allobogoriellales; Allobogoriellaceae
Description: bacterial SSU rRNA
Rfam family: Bacterial small subunit ribosomal RNA
Source: RNAcentral